AGUACACCGUAUAUCAUUAAUAUAUGCCGUACAAAGUGAUGCACGAUCUAUUUUGAUAAUUAGCAUUAGUGUUAAUUACUGAGUUUUCGCGAGUGAUUUGAAGGAAUCUGAAAGGAGGAAGAGGUCUGGGAGGCAUCGGACAACGGCGGAGUUCUAUGAGAAGUGUUAUGUGAGUUCAACGGAGCAACACUUGAGAGGAGGCCUGGGAGGCAUCAGGCGAUGGCGGAGCAACUAUGGGUUUAACGUAGAUUAUUGAUGUGAUAUGAUUGAUAACUCCGCUGCUGUGCACCGUAUUGGUAUGGGCAUACAAGUGGGCUAUCUUUUUCGUGGACACGGAUGAAUGCUGAUGCAGCGGCGAGAUCUUGGAAUGUACCCGAUGGUUCAAUGUCGGAGGGUCGUGGUCGACUGGCCGGUCAGUUGCUGUUGUUUUAUUCAAGAAGCUGAAUAUUGAAACGAGAGUCAAUACUCGCCAUCCGUUUCCACACGAAAGCAAACGAAUGUGCUUAUAUCGUUGCGCUUAUACGAAUGCGGCCGGAAGCUGCAUCUCUAUACGAAAACACGUUCGCGUCGUAUCGAAUUAUCUACUCUCGACAAUCGUUUCGUAAGUGGCGAAUUAUCUGGCUAUAUAAUUGAUCGUCCUAGUGAUUACCGUGUUGU
Long non-coding RNA from Atta colombica, 657 nucleotides. RefSeq lists it as uncharacterized. The transcript is spliced from 4 exons. The record is from RefSeq and is a predicted model, not a curated record. NCBI's taxonomy places the organism in Eukaryota, Metazoa, Arthropoda, Insecta, Hymenoptera, Formicidae.